AGCAUUAAUCUGGCAUUUGUCUUGCUUCUUUUGAAUUCUUCGAACACGUUUCGAGUUGGGCUGUGAUCUUAAUAGAUGAUAAUUGGGAGGAGUAUCAGAGCACAAGCAAUAAGAUGAAGCAGAGGAAGAAUAGGAAGAAGAUGAAGAAGAAGAGCAUGAUGAAUCAGGGGACCUCUUCAUUUACUCUGUUCUGGGCACUUCUUUCUCUUAGCUCCUGCAGUAAGAGAGAGAGAGAGACACCAGGAUAGGAAAAAGAAA
Molecule: unclassified non-coding RNA, 258 nt
Filed under: Hevea brasiliensis (rubber tree)
Lineage: Eukaryota; Viridiplantae; Streptophyta; Magnoliopsida; Malpighiales; Euphorbiaceae
Source: RNAcentral